This 77-nucleotide transfer RNA is filed under the name Acholeplasmataceae bacterium. Its description in RNAcentral is "tRNA-Arg". It matches the Rfam family "tRNA". From Rfam's summary of the family: Transfer RNA (tRNA) molecules are approximately 80 nucleotides in length. Their secondary structure includes four short double-helical elements and three loops (D, anti-codon, and T loops). Lineage: Bacteria; Bacillati; Mycoplasmatota; Mollicutes; Acholeplasmatales; Acholeplasmataceae. RNAcentral also lists the same sequence under 1 other name. The record is from RNAcentral.
GUACCCAUAGCUCAACUGGAUAGAGCGCUUGACUACGGAUCAAGAGGUUGGGAGUUCAAAUCUUCUUGGGUACGCCA